RNAcentral lists this ribosomal RNA (459 nucleotides) under Lysobacteraceae bacterium. RNAcentral describes it as "bacterial SSU rRNA". It matches the Rfam family "Bacterial small subunit ribosomal RNA", at positions 73 to 526 of the family's 1533-position model. Lineage: Bacteria; Pseudomonadati; Pseudomonadota; Gammaproteobacteria; Lysobacterales; Lysobacteraceae. The record is from RNAcentral.
CACAGCUUGCUCUGUGGGUGGCGAGUGGCGGACGGGUGAGGAAUACAUGGGAAUCUGCCCGGUCGUGGGGGAUAACGUAUGGAAACGUACGCUAAUACCGCACGCGCCCUUCGGGGGAAAGCCGGGGAUCUUCGGACCUGGCGCGAUUGGAUGAGCCCAUGUCGGAUUAUCUAGUUGGGGGGGUAAUGGCCCACCAAGGCGACGAUCCGUACCUGGUCUGAGAGGAUGAUCAGCCACACUGGAACUGAGACACGGUCCAGACUCCUACGGGAGGCAGCAAUAGGGAAUAUUGGACAAUGGGCGCAAGCCUGAUCCGGCCAUGCCGCGUGUGUGAAGAAGGCCUUCGGGUUGUAAAGCACUUUUAUCCGGAAAGAAAAGCGCUGGGUUAAUACCCUGGUGUUCUGACGGUACCGGAAGAAUAAGCACCGGCUAACUUCGUGCCAGCAGCCGCGGUAAUAC